AAAGAGUUCAAAGACCACCUAGUACUUUGAAGCACAGUGGCACAGCCUGACCCGCACGCCCCUGAGAGUCUACACUCAGUUGAGCCCAGGAAGGAUGGUGUCCUGUUCAGUUGGCAAAAUUGGCUCCAAGGCUCUAGGAUACCAGGCCUGGGUUCUUGCAGCUGCCUUCAAAGCAGAAGUGUGUCGAUACGCAGACACGUGAUGGAAGGACGUGGGCUGCCUUAGCCGGUGCUGUGGAACGCCUGUGCCCUUGGUGUCAGAAAACGUGUUUACGGAGCUCUGCCUCCUGGGAUUCAGCCAGGCCACUGGAAAACUGUAAAAUCUGGAUCUGACUUUCCACUUGGGCUUUGCCGUUAAGCUGUUUCACUACACUGAGAUGUGUUAUAAAUGGGUCUGUGAAGCGGCCUCCCAGAACCAUAGCCGAAUUUGCUGCAGGGACGCUGUUGAGGGCGACAGUGUGUCUAUCAUUACAUCACACAGUCUUUUUUAAGAGCCUCAAGUGAGAAAUUUUCUCACUCAGCACAUGCCUGGCACAAAUAUUCGUUAGUGGGACAAAUGAAUGAAUAGGUUGCCUCAAGUUGUGGGAGGCCUCCACCAAUGACUGGACAAUCUCCCUGGAGGCAUCAGGACCAAAGGAAGCUCGGUGACCAAAGACUGAUGACUGCCAUGUUGUGAGCUGCCCUGUGGAGAGGCUCAUGUGACAAAGGACUGAGGGUGGCCUCCUGCCCACUGGUGUGGAACUGGGGCCCUCAGUGCAACAGCCCAUGAGAAACCGAAUCUCCCA
Molecule: long non-coding RNA, 784 nt
Filed under: Equus caballus (horse)
Lineage: Eukaryota; Metazoa; Chordata; Mammalia; Perissodactyla; Equidae
Description: lncRNA (ENSECAG00000050894.1)
Source: RNAcentral